This is a long non-coding RNA of Cornus florida, 1307 nucleotides long. RefSeq lists it as uncharacterized. Lineage: Eukaryota; Viridiplantae; Streptophyta; Magnoliopsida; Cornales; Cornaceae. The record is from RefSeq and is a predicted model, not a curated record. The transcript has 4 exons.
AUGAACUGCGUAAUACUAUUGCACAGACCCACCUUCUCUCCUAACCAUCCUCUUUCUCUCUCUCUAGGGAACACAUCUAACCCUAGAAACUCUUCAACGGCUUUCCCACGCUUCCCUAAUAAGGAGAUCGAAUUAACCUCUUCUUUGUCAACCUCCUUUGCCCAAACUGUCCGUUCGCCGCCGUUCCUCCGUUCGCCGCCGUUCCCCCAUCGAUGGCCAUUUAUAACAACCUUGCAAGCGGAGCCACCGCUUUAAUUGUCUUCUUCACCAACCUCUUCCGCCCACAUGUGGUCGCUCCGCUCUCUGCCACUCGGUCUUUCGUUGCUCCACCCAAGUUUUUCUACACUACGGCUCCCACCGGAAGUCCUGACAGCGUCGGCGCCUGCAACCACCUUGGGGGUUUGAGGCUAAGGCAGUGAAGAAGGGUUUAUACUUUAUAUGUGAGAUUGGACAUGCCUGGGGUUGAGGAAGAGGAUGGGUUUAUAUGUGAGAUUGGACAUGCCUGGGGUUGAGGAAGAGGACAUGGAGGUAUGGCUGGAGUAUGACACCCUUUUUGUCAAAGGUGUAGCCCGGAAAGCAUGGGAGCAAGAAGUCUACGGCAGGUUGUACUGUGGGAGCAGAGAACUUCUGCCCCAGUAGGGGAAGAAGGGGUUGAUUAUGUUAAGAAUUCACAUCAUUUUUAUGUUCCAAGAGAGGGGUUUGAGGCUAAGGCAGUGAAGAAGGGUUUGUAUGUGAUAGUGGACAUGCCUGGCGUUGAGGAAGAGGACGUGGAGGUAUCGCUUGAUAAUGACACCGUUUUUCGUCAAAGGUGAAGCCCAGAAAGAAUGGGAGCAAGGAAUACAUGGCAGGUUGUACUGUGGGAGCAUCGAUCUUCUGCCAGAAUCGGGGAUGAAGGUUGGUGUUCUUAAGAAGGAUCUGAAGAAGUGUGUUGUAACAAUGGUCCUGGAUGCUUCUCGUGGACGACAAUGGUCACUCAGUUUACCAGUAACAAUCUUGAAUUCCCUGCUGUGAUAAAGAAUUUCUUCUUCUUUACCCUCCAGGUCUGAUUUGUAGUUUUUUGCUCUUUGUUUUAGUCAAGUACUAGUUUGUGUGUGUAUAAUCUACAUGCUUAAGAUGUUUUAGUUUUAGAUACAGAUAAAUACAGAAGUUAUUUUAUCCAUUGGACUCUAAAGAAAAAUUUAAGAGCUGUGGGAUCAGGGGUCUCUGAUGAUGUGUGUUUGGGUUUUCUGUCCGAGUCUCGUCUUCCUGAUAUGCCUUCCUCCUAUGCAUGCAUAUUAGAGGAUAGUUUGGCACUGCAUAUUAUUUAG